Macaca fascicularis (crab-eating macaque) is the source of this 1813-nucleotide long non-coding RNA. The record is from Ensembl. Lineage: Eukaryota; Metazoa; Chordata; Mammalia; Primates; Cercopithecidae.
UUUUUUUCUUUUUUUUUUUUUUUUGGCAGAACUCUCACUGCCUUCCUCUAAUGCAUAAAUCUUUUUGGCCCAUUCUGGAGCAGACUCCACAGUGAAGCAGCCUCAUCCCAUCAAUCCUCUGCAGGGUGACUGGGGUUUCCCUUUCCACAUGACUGUGCCCUCUGACUUCUUUUCCCAGUCCUCUGAUGAGUUGGAGGAGCAAAUCAUGAACCCAGGCUGGAUUGGGCAGGGACCAGGCCAUGAAGGGCUGGUAAUGGAGUGAAGCAUUUAUGCUUGAAGCCAGCUGGAGCCACCAAAGAAUUUUGAACAAGGGAGUGAUAUGAUUAGAUGUGUAUUUUAUUACAAUCCUUCUUAGAACACAGUAGAGAAUGGACAGGAGAAUAUGAGACUAGCAGCAGGGAGACUAAUAAGGGGCCAAAUGCCAUGCUUUUCCACUUGCAUAUUUUCUGCAAACAUGGCCAAUCAUGAUCACUCUUUUUGCUUAUGACAUAAUUUAGAAGGUGAUUCAACAUGACUUGGGUGAGUCGGUCCUUUCUGUCUAUGGAAGGCUGUAGUGGGUUGAAUUACAUCCCCCUCAGAGGUAUACUGAAAUCCUAACCCCUGGUACCUGUGCCUGUGACCAUAGUUGAAAAUAAGGUAUUUGCAGAUGUAUUGAAAUUAAGGUCAUGAUGGAUUAGGGUGGGCCCUAAAUCCAGUGACUGGUGUCCUUUUAAGGACAGGGGAGGUUUGAAGACACACAAUGAAGAAGGCUGUGUGAGGAGAGAAGCGGACAUUGUAAAGAUGCAGCUAUAAGUCAAAGAAUUCCAAGGAUUGCUGGCAACCAAUAAAAGCCAGGAAAGAUGAGGAAGGAUUCUUUCUGGAGUCUCAGAGGCAACGUGGCCCUGCUGAUACUUUGAUUUCCAGAAUGAUGAGAACAUUACUGUUUUUUUUAAGUCACCAAGUUUGUAGUGAUUUAUUACAGCAUCCCUAGGAAAUGAACACAGGGCCAAAUAAUUACAGAACAUUAGAACCAUCUCCAUCAUCAAAUGAGAAAGCUGAGGCCCAGAGAUGUGACACGGAUUCCCAAAGUACCCAGAGGAUUCAUGGCAAGUCCCGUAGAUAAGGAAGGUAUACUUGGGGAAACAGGGACCAUUUACUCUGGUUGUAGUUUCUGACACUUCCUUGUUGCCUGCAUUUGACUUCAGACCCUCAGUUCUUUGCCUAACCAGACCCUUCUUCUCAUCCCCUACCCAAGCCGCCCUCAGUCCCCUCUCCCUGAUCAUCCAGUUUGCAAACUGUCUGCCCACCCAGGACCCAGCUAGAGUCAGCUCUGGGGAUCUGACUCAACACCUGCCUGAGCCUGAGCCUGACCCAUCCCUGCUGCCAAGUACAGCCACUGGACUCUCCAAGUCAUCUCAUGAGCUGACCCUGGGGGAUCUCUGCAGCUCCUAGACCCAAACAUUUAUUACACUAGAGGCAAGUCCACAUCAUUUUCAUGAAUCUCUUCCCACUAGACUAUAAGCUCCUUGAGGAAAGAGACCACUUACUUUUACAAAUCUUUCUUUUUUAUACCCAGCACAAUACCUGAUCCAUGGUGAGCUCUCAAGAAUACUGAAUGACGUUAUCGAUUGAGUCAUUUCUUUGCAAGCUGUGUAACAUGCCUCAGCCCUAUGGAGAGAGACUGGAAGGGCCCCAGGGUCAGUUCACAUGGGAAGUUCCCACCCAUGAAAGACAAUAUGUGCAAAGAGAUCAGGCAGAGUUACCAGCAGUUAACAAGUAUUCCACAAAAAGAGAAUAUUGCAUGUGCAAAUAAGUUUUGGGAGGGCUAUGUCAU